ACACCACCACAAUGGUUGGUUAA
This 23-nucleotide small nuclear RNA is filed under the name Arabidopsis thaliana (thale cress). RNAcentral describes it as "snRNA_13037". Lineage: Eukaryota; Viridiplantae; Streptophyta; Magnoliopsida; Brassicales; Brassicaceae. The record is from RNAcentral.